ACAUUCUUAGCUCAGUUGGAAAGAGCAGCAACCUUCUAAGUUGCUGGUCGCAGGUUCGACCCCUGCAGAAUGUG
Molecule: transfer RNA, 74 nt
Filed under: Botryococcus braunii
Lineage: Eukaryota; Viridiplantae; Chlorophyta; Trebouxiophyceae
Description: tRNA-Arg
Rfam family: tRNA
About the family: Transfer RNA (tRNA) molecules are approximately 80 nucleotides in length. Their secondary structure includes four short double-helical elements and three loops (D, anti-codon, and T loops). Further hydrogen bonds mediate the characteristic L-shaped molecular structure. tRNAs have two regions of fundamental functional importance: the anti-codon, which is responsible for specific mRNA codon recognition, and the 3' end, to which the tRNAs corresponding amino acid is attached (by aminoacyl-tRNA synthetases). tRNAs cope with the degeneracy of the genetic code in two manners: having more than one tRNA (with a specific anti-codon) for a particular amino acid; and 'wobble' base-pairing, i.e. permitting non-standard base-pairing at the 3rd anti-codon position.
Source: RNAcentral